AAAAAACACUUAUACACUUUUAGGCAUAAACACUUACCAUUGAAUUCUUCAAAUACACAAUUCAA
This is a non-coding RNA of Metschnikowia aff. pulcherrima, 65 nucleotides long. Lineage: Eukaryota; Fungi; Ascomycota; Pichiomycetes; Serinales; Metschnikowiaceae. The record is from the annotation of a GenBank genome assembly.